RNAcentral lists this ribosomal RNA (434 nucleotides) under uncultured Clostridium sp. RNAcentral's name for it is "partial 16S ribosomal RNA". It matches the Rfam family "Bacterial small subunit ribosomal RNA", at positions 341 to 792 of the family's 1533-position model. The record is from RNAcentral. Lineage: Bacteria; Bacillati; Bacillota; Clostridia; Eubacteriales; Clostridiaceae.
ACGGAAGGCAGCAGUGGGGAAUAUUGGACAAUGGGGGAAACCCUGAUCCAGCGACGCCGCGUGAGUGAAGAAGUAUUUCGGUAUGUAAAGCUCUAUCAGCAGGGAAGAUAAUGACGGUACCUGACUAAGAAGCCCCGGCUAACUACGUGCCAGCAGCCGCGGUAAUACGUAGGGGGCAAGCGUUAUCCGGAUUUACUGGGUGUAAAGGGAGCGUAGACGGCAUGGCAAGUCUGAUGUGAAAACCCGGGGCUCAACCCCGGGACUGCAUUGGAAACUGUCAGGCUAGAGUGCAGGAGAGGUAAGUGGAAUUCCUAGUGUAGCGGUGAAAUGCGUAGAUAUUAGGAGGAACACCAGUGGCGAAGGCGGCUUACUGGACUGUAACUGACGUUGAGGCUCGAAAGCGUGGGGAGCAGACAGGAUUAGAUACCCUGGUA